This 587-nucleotide ribosomal RNA is filed under the name Clostridioides difficile. Its description in RNAcentral is "bacterial SSU rRNA". It matches the Rfam family "Bacterial small subunit ribosomal RNA", at positions 221 to 826 of the family's 1533-position model. The record is from RNAcentral. Lineage: Bacteria; Bacillati; Bacillota; Clostridia; Peptostreptococcales; Peptostreptococcaceae.
CAGGAUGGACCCGCGUCUGAUUAGCUAGUUGGUAAGGUAACGGCUUACCAAGGCGACGAUCAGUAGCCGACCUGAGAGGGUGAUCGGCCACAUUGGAACUGAGACACGGUCCAAACUCCUACGGGAGGCAGCAGUGGGGAAUAUUGCACAAUGGGCGAAAGCCUGAUGCAGCAACGCCGCGUGAGUGAUGAAGGCCUUCGGGUCGUAAAACUCUGUCCUCAAGGAAGAUAAUGACGGUACUUGAGGAGGAAGCCCCGGCUAACUACGUGCCAGCAGCCGCGGUAAUACGUAGGGGGCUAGCGUUAUCCGGAUUUACUGGGCGUAAAGGGUGCGUAGGCGGUCUUUCAAGUCAGGAGUGAAAGGCUACGGCUCAACCGUAGUAAGCUCUUGAAACUGGGAGACUUGAGUGCAGGAGAGGAGAGUGGAAUUCCUAGUGUAGCGGUGAAAUGCGUAGAUAUUAGGAGGAACACCAGUUGCGAAGGCGGCUCUCUGGACUGUAACUGACGCUGAGGCACGAAAGCGUGGGGAGCAAACAGGAUUAGAUACCCUGGUAGUCCACGCUGUAAACGAUGAGUACUAGGUGUCGG